CGGGAUAUAGCUCAGCUUGGUAGAGCACCUGCUUUGGGAGCAGGGGGUCGUAGGUUCAAAUCCUACUAUCCCGAC
This is a non-coding RNA of Nitzschia inconspicua, 75 nucleotides long. NCBI's taxonomy places the organism in Eukaryota, Bacillariophyta, Bacillariophyceae, Bacillariales, Bacillariaceae. The record is from the annotation of a GenBank genome assembly.